AGAACGAACGCUGGCGGCAUGCCUAAUACAUGCAAGUCGAACGAACACUUCGGUGUUAGUGGCGCACGGGUGCGUAACGCGUGGGAAUCUGCCCUUGGGUUCGGAAUAACAGUUGGAAACGACUGCUAAUACCGGAUGAUAUCGAAAGAUCAAAGAUUUAUCGCCCAGGGAUGAGCCCGCGUAGGAUUAGCUAGUUGGUGAGGUAAAGGCUCACCAAGGCGACGAUCCUUAGCUGGUCUGAGAGGAUGAUCAGCCACACUGGGACUGAGACACGGCCCAGACUCCUACGGGAGGCAGCAGUAGGGAAUAUUGGACAAUGGGCGCAAGCCUGAUCCAGCAAUGCCGCGUGAGUGAUGAAGCCUUAGGGUUGUAAAGCUCUUUACCCGAGAUGAAUAAUGACAGUAUCGGGAGAAUAAAGCCCCGGCUAACUCCGUGCCAAGCAGCCGC
RNAcentral lists this ribosomal RNA (447 nucleotides) under uncultured soil bacterium. RNAcentral's name for it is "bacterial SSU rRNA". It matches the Rfam family "Bacterial small subunit ribosomal RNA", at positions 26 to 518 of the family's 1533-position model. The record is from RNAcentral.